Anolis carolinensis (green anole) is the source of this 3528-nucleotide long non-coding RNA. RefSeq lists it as uncharacterized. The record is from RefSeq and is a predicted model, not a curated record. NCBI's taxonomy places the organism in Eukaryota, Metazoa, Chordata, Lepidosauria, Squamata, Anolidae. The transcript is spliced from 3 exons.
AGGUGGUCACAUCUGAUGCUGCACAGCUGAUCAUGAAUUUUAUAGCCUCAAAUUUCUACCAAAUUCAAGGCUUCUUGAGAUAUAGACAUAUGACCUGGGGUAAAAGGAAAGUUAUUUGAAAGCUGAAUUAAAGUCCCCAAAACUGCACUGCAAGUGAAUAAUUAAAGACAACAUAUGUCUGGACUGCAGCACCUAUGAGAAUCAUAGAGUUGGAAGAGACCUCAUGGGCCAUCCAGUCCAAUCCCCUGCCAAGAAGAAGGAAAUUGCAUUCAAAGCCUUCCUUAUUUCUUGUGGUGAUUUUUUUUUUCCUUUUCAUAUGUGCUUUUCUCAAUAAACUGUUUUACUACUACUUUUGGAUUCCUGGUUGGUGUUGAGUGCAAGGUGGAUUCUGGCUGGGGUGCAACAUAAGUCUUGAUAGAGUGGGAAUUACCCCCAACUUCUUCAAAGAGAAGACUUUUUAGAUUAAGGGGGAAACCAAUGCCACUACCUCAUAAUUAACCAGUCCAACAACAAUCAAAAAAUGUAUUGGUUUUUAAGCCUGUUCCUGGGUAUGAUCAUGUGUGACUCACCCAAGGUCAACCAAUGGAUUUCCAUGGCCAAAAGGGGAAAUGAAUCUUGGUCUCCACUCACUUAACCCACCACACCAUUCAGGCUCUACAAUGCAAAGGACUCUCUCUUGAAUUAGCUGUCACAGCAGAUUUUACUGAAGAAAUAAGAGAACUUAAGAGAACAGUGGGCCAAUCUUCUAUAGGAGACAUAUCUUGCAUCUGAAAGUAAAGGAAUUUAGUCAUAAUUGCCAAAGAAGAGAGGGGGGAAAAUGGGAACAAUUUCAUGAGACAUCUGAGCCUGAGCUAUCAUGUCAUACCCUCUCUAAUGGACCUGUUUCUUUAUUCUGAAGGAAUGUUCUCAACAACAUCUGUUCACUAGAGCACAGAUUCAAAGCAACAUCAAUGUUUAACAUUCUGUUCAGUCAUAAAAAUAUGUGACACUUUGUCCUAGAGAAUGAAUGUCUAUUUCACAAGUAUUUCAAAGAUCUUUCUGAGAAUUUUCCUUGAGAAAUAUAACAACUGAAAAAAUAUCUUCUAGAAAAAGACUAUGAGUAACCUUGGCUUUUUGUACUUGCAAGAAAACUAUUGCAGCUGAUUUUCAGUGACUAUGUAUAGCUCUGUGAAUAUAUAUUUUUUGCACACUGCCAGUGACAGUAACUGAAGCUGAAAGAUGUUUUAACAAGCAACAGUCAAUGUAUGACAAUCUCAGUUUAAUCAUCUUGGUUUCUACAGAGAGCUCAGGCUUGAUUUGCUCUAGGACUUACAGAUUUGUCUUUUUAGCAGUCCAGUAGUAGUCUUCUCAAGCAUGACAUUUCAAAUGAGUUUAUUUUCUUUCCAUCUGUGUUUUUCACUACUUAGUUCCCCAGCCAAACAUAGAAAUGGGAAAUGGACAAUCUUAAUAUUAGUAUUGAGUGAUAUAUCUUGUUAUGACCAACAGAAAAUCUAGUUUUGCCUCUUUACAGAGCAGAGCAACCAAGGUCAUCGCAAUAUCUUUGUACAUAGACCAGACAGCAAACAGAGGCUCCAAAGCUUCAGUGUUGCAAUCUAUUGUGACUGGACUAGAUUAUGCCUCGUUUGCAUACACUUACCAUUUAUUAGUCUUUCCCCAAGUGCCAGAUUUGCAUUAUGUGUGUGCACAGAGCAUAGCCAGUACUGUAACUGCAGCUACACAAAAAAACCUGACUCUUCUCCUCAGGAAUUAAUUAAUGUUUGACCUGAGCUUCAAAAGAAGUGGCACACUAGGGCUUUCGAUAACCCAGCAAGAUUGCUGAAAGCCGAAAUUAAAUUCCUGCUCAACCAGAGUAUCUAAUUCAUGCUCGUGCUUGAAGGGUAGGACCAAACAGGCUGGGCUCCCUUGGGGUUCCACAUUUCUGCAGUUCACAAGGAUAGAGUGCUUCACUUCUGCAUUCAGUAUGACCUCUUUUGUGUACUUGCAAUGAGAGUCUGAAAGGACUACAUCCAACCCAGCACAGAGAGAAAUGGAGAAAAGACUAAAAACAUCAUUACACCAGCUUGUUGUUUAUGGCAAUCACGUUGCUUAAGCAAAUGGAAAUAUAUAGUCGAGUCUCACUUAUCCAAGACUCACUUAUCCAAGGUUUUGGAUUAUCCAAGGCAUUUUUGUAGUCAAUGUUUUCAAUAUAUCAUGAUAUUUUGGUGCUAAAUUCGUAAAUACAACAUAACAUUACUGAGUAUUGAACUUUUUCUGUCAAAUUUGUUGUAUAACAUGAUAUUUUGGUGCUUAAUUUAUAAAAUCAUGACCUAAUUUGAUGUUUUCUUAAUCCCUCCUUAUUAUCCAAGAUAUUCGUUUAUCCAAGCUUCUGCCAGCCCGUUUAGCUUGGAUAAGUGAGACUCUACUGUAUUAUUGGAACAAGCUUUUCAAACUUCAGUGCAAUUCACGAUCCUGGCACUUUGUUGAUGCAAAUCCAGCAAUCAGUAUUCAUACUGCUUUGUUUUCUGUACCAAGUGUAUGUGUAAAAAUCUAUUUUGCUGUAGUUGUGCAAUCUCGUUUCAGCAUUUUCACAAGACUUCCUUCCACUUUGCAAUACUGGGAGUGCAGCAAAGAACAAUGGAACUACAAUGAUAUUGGAAUAAUUGGCAAGUUUUUCCUAUCAAUGAAAAGAGAUGAUCUAAUCACAAAUCAAACACAGUGCAAGUACAGAACUGCCAUAAUAUCAUGUGCUGGGACCCAUUAACAAGUAUUUUUGUCUUGUGAUAUGCUUUACCAGUCUCGUGUGAUAAACUCCUAAGACUUGGAAAAAUAAAUGUGCAGGAACUAGGUAAAGUCUGAAAAUCUACCAUCAAAUGCAAGAGUCACAAUCAUAUAUUUCUAAUUUUUUGGGUAUGGUUGUGAAAGCUGGGCAAUGAAGCAAAUCAAAAGAAAGAAAAUCACCUGAUUUGAAAUGUGGUGCUGGACAAGAGUUCUGCAUGGACUGCCAAAAUGACAAAUAAAUGGGCCCAAGGUCAAAUCAAGCCUGAAUUCAUCUCAAAAAAGCAGUGACUAAAUUGAUAUGUCACUUUUUGAACAUAUCAUAAGAUUACGUGACUCAUUGGAGAAGUUGAUAAUGUUUUGUAAAUAAAAAGGAAUCAGAAAAGAGGAAGACAGCAUUGCAGGGGCCGUACUGUAAUUAACAGUUUAACUCAGGAUACUUCCACACUUGUCAAAAUCCUUGGGAUUUGAUGGGAGUUAUAACUAUAGUUAGUAAAAUGUUUUUUCCUGAUCACCAUACAACCUUCUUCCCCAUAUUUUUCAGGUGAAUUUAUAGGUGUUAACAACUACUUCUUAAACCCACUGCAGGGUAUGCAGUGUUUUUUUUUCUGUCCCAGGAGUUUCCAGUACAGGUCAGGAUAAAUGUCUGCAUUUAUUCUCAUGGUUUCCUUCACUAUAUAUUUGGGUGGUUCCACUGAUAACAUAUAGAACUUGGGGUGUUGCCUUUGCCACAGAUAUUUUCUGCUGACCUUAAUUUCUUCAUUAUGAUUGGUG